AGGUAUGAAUAUGCAGCACCGCAUUAUACCCUGGGCAGAUGAUGGAUUUGUGCUCUAUAAUCACUAUCUGCCAAAUAAGGAAAAGAUGAAUUCUUUCUUAUUAACCUUGUUCACAAGGGAGCUCAGGUUGCUACUGACAUGGAGAAAAUAUGUGUGUGAUUCCUAUCUAAGUUAUUUGCUAUGAAUGAGCAGACAAACCACAACUUCCAAGGCAACUGAGCUCUAGUCAAAGUGAAUGACACUAAACAAAAUUGUCAGCCUGGAGUUGCAGUGAUGAUCAUGUUAGGAAAUGUAGGCUUAAAACAGAAACCCUAAAGAACAAUUUGUAAGGUGCCAAUGAUACUUAAACUUGGGCAAUGGAUAGACACCUUUUCUAAUUCACAGACCCUGGAAUGAGCAUGGUAAAAAGAAAAUCUUCAAUUAAAUCUAUUAAAAAUCUCUAUUUGGGGGGCUGUUGCUCAGCAGUAGAGCACUUGGCACCUGUGAGGUGCUGGGUUCGAUGGUGCAAUAAAAUAAAGGUAUUGUCCAACUACAAUUGAAAAAAUAAAUAUUAAAAAAAAAAUCUCUAUUUGGAAGUUCUGAUGAUUCAAGUCAAUAUUCCCACUCAAGCAAUAUCUCUGAAGGUGUUACAGAAGCCCUCUCUCUUGAAAACAGUGUUUUAGCAACAGGUCAUCUGCAAAUAUCAGCAGAUGAGCCGUCAGAAAUAUUUAAUAAUAUUUCAUAGUGAUAUUGCCAUGUUUUAAUGAAACAUCAACAGAAAAAAAUUUACAAUAAGGUAGGAGGAAUUAAAAAAAAAAAAGACCCAUUUAGGAUAAAGGCAAAUUCUCUGCGUCAAAACAAAUUAAGGUUGGAGAUAUUAUUUUAUAAUAUUUAAAACACGAGAAAGCUUACUAGAUCAUAAUUAAACCUAUUUUCUUCCUUGGCUUCCUCAAUGUUAAGUGCACAAAUCUCUAUUUACUUGCCUAUAAAGACAGUGGCGAUGAUGGAGGUCUCCCUUUCAUGCUAUAUCUUUUAACUCUAACAUGUUAAUACUGAACCCUCCAUUUCUCAAAUGAAUAACAGAAAUACCUUUCUAAAUAGUUUUUCUAAAAGUUUACACUUGGCAUUGGUAAGACAUAAUCAUUAUUUUAAAGGUAAGUUUGAAAAUGAUUGGUUUAUAGUUUUAGCCUAAUCAGUAAGUUAAUCCCCUGAUGGAAUCAACUAAAGUGGUAGGGUGUGACUGGAGGAGGUGGGAAUUAAGGGUGUGGCUUUAGUGUAUAUUGUAUCUGGCAAGUCAGAGUCUGUGUGAUGUGAGAUGCUUCUCUCUGCCACCCUCUCCCACCAUGACGUUCCGCCUCCUUGCUAACAUUUUCAAUAGAAAAUCUAAACAGCAAAGAGCAUUACUAACUCUUACCUUAUUU
Ictidomys tridecemlineatus (thirteen-lined ground squirrel) is the source of this 1400-nucleotide long non-coding RNA. RefSeq lists it as uncharacterized. Lineage: Eukaryota; Metazoa; Chordata; Mammalia; Rodentia; Sciuridae. The record is from RefSeq and is a predicted model, not a curated record.